GAAAUGCGAUACGCAAUGCGAAUUGCAGAAUUCCGCGAAUCAUCAGAUCCUUGAACGCAACUGGCGCUGGAGGGAUAUCCCUCCAGCAUGUCUGUUUCAGUGUCUGAAAACUUCCCCAAUAAUUUAAUGUGUUUGACAAGGAGUAGUUCGUUUUAUGAUGAGCUACAUUUUAACCAAGUCUUACAUGAAAGAUGUAUGUGUGGGUCUUUGGAUCCAUCGAAUUGGUCAUCGAUUCUUCGGUGAUUUCGAUUGGAUAUCACCAAUUACUCGUAUACACAUAGAAAACAAUACAUAUCUUUAUCAUCUGCAUCUGAAAUCAGGCAAGAAAACCCGCUGAACUUAA
RNAcentral lists this unclassified non-coding RNA (343 nucleotides) under uncultured fungus. RNAcentral's name for it is "sequence contains ITS1". The stretch from base 1 to 105 matches the Rfam family "5.8S ribosomal RNA", at positions 50 to 154 of the family's 154-position model. Lineage: Eukaryota; Fungi. The record is from RNAcentral.